GGGGCAUUAGCUCAGCUGGGAGAGCGCCGGCUUUGCAAGCCGGAGGUCAGGGGUUCGAUCCCCCUAUGCUCCACCA
RNAcentral lists this transfer RNA (76 nucleotides) under Coriobacteriia bacterium. RNAcentral's name for it is "tRNA-Ala". It matches the Rfam family "tRNA". Rfam says of the family: Transfer RNA (tRNA) molecules are approximately 80 nucleotides in length. Their secondary structure includes four short double-helical elements and three loops (D, anti-codon, and T loops). RNAcentral also lists the same sequence under 1 other name. Lineage: Bacteria; Bacillati; Actinomycetota; Coriobacteriia. The record is from RNAcentral.